AACGAACGCUGGCGGCAUGCCUAACACAUGCAAGUCGAACGAGACCUUCGGGUUUAGUGGCGCACGGGUGCGUAACGCGGGGGAACCUGCCCUUAAGUUCGGAAUAACUCGCCGAAAGGGGUGCUAAUACCGGAGAAUGUCUUCGGACCAACGAUUUGGCGCCUUUGGAUGGGCCUGCGUUGGAUUAGCUAGUUGGUAGGGUAAAAGCCUACCACGGCGACGAUCCAUAGCUGGUCUGAGAGGAUGAUCAGCCACACUGGGACUGAGACACGGCCCAGACUCCUACGGGAGGCGGCAGUGGGGGAUAUUGGAAAAUGGGCGAAAGCCUGAUCCAGCAAUGCCGCGUGAGUGAUGAAGGCCUUAGGGUUGUAAAGCUCUUUUACCCGGGAUGAUAAUGACAGUACCGGGAGAAUAAGCUCCGGCUAACUCCGUG
Molecule: ribosomal RNA, 433 nt
Filed under: uncultured bacterium
Lineage: Bacteria
Description: partial 16S ribosomal RNA
Rfam family: Bacterial small subunit ribosomal RNA
Source: RNAcentral